CCUACGGGAGGCUGCAGUGGGGGAUAUUGCACAAUGGGGGAAACCCUGAUGCAGCGACGCCGCGUGGGCGAAGAAGUAUUUCGGUAUGUAAAGCCCUAUCAGCAGGGAAGAAGUAAUGACGGUACCUGAGUAAGAAGCACCGGCUAAAUACGUGCCAGCAGCCGUGGUAAUACGGAGGGUGCAUGCGUUAUCCGGAUUUACUGGGUGCAAAGGGAGCGCAGGUGGCACGGCAAGCCUGCUGUGAAAGCCCGCGGCCCAACCGCGGGACUGCAGUGGAAACUGCCGGGCUGGAGUGCCAGAGAGGUAGGCGGAAUGCGUGGUGUAGCGGUGAAAUGCGUAGAUAUUGGGAAGAACACCAGUGGCGAAGGCAGCCUGCUGGACGGUGACUGACGCUGAGGCUCGAAAGCGUGGGGAGCGAACAGGAUUAGAUACCCCUGUAGUC
Molecule: ribosomal RNA, 442 nt
Filed under: uncultured bacterium
Lineage: Bacteria
Description: partial 16S ribosomal RNA
Rfam family: Bacterial small subunit ribosomal RNA
Source: RNAcentral